RNAcentral lists this ribosomal RNA (450 nucleotides) under uncultured bacterium. RNAcentral describes it as "partial 16S ribosomal RNA". It matches the Rfam family "Bacterial small subunit ribosomal RNA", at positions 354 to 796 of the family's 1533-position model. The record is from RNAcentral.
GUGGGGAAUCUUCCGCAAUGGACGAAAGUCUGACGGAGCAACGCCGCGUGAGUGAAGAAGGUUUUCGGAUCGUAAAGCUCUUUCGUUAGGGACGAACGUGCUCUUUGUGAAUAAUGAGGAGUAAUGACGGUACCUAAAUAAGAAGCCACGGCUAACUACGUGCCAGCAGCCGCGGUAAUACGUAGGUGGCAAGCGUUGUCCGGAAUUAUUGGGCGUAAAGCGCGCGCAGGCGGGAUAUCAAGUCUGUCUUAAAAGUGCGAGGCUCAACCUCGUGAGGGGACAGAAACUGGGAUUCUUGAGUGUCGGAGAGGAAAGUGUAAUUCCAAGUGUAGCGGUGAAAUGCGUAGAGAUUUGGAAGAACACCAGUGGCGAAGGCGACUUUCUGGACGAUGUCUGACGCUGAGGCGCGAAAGCUAGGGGAGCGAACGGGAUUAGAAACCCGUGUAGUCC